Long non-coding RNA from Drosophila montana, 1385 nucleotides. RefSeq lists it as uncharacterized. The transcript has 3 exons. The record is from RefSeq and is a predicted model, not a curated record. NCBI's taxonomy places the organism in Eukaryota, Metazoa, Arthropoda, Insecta, Diptera, Drosophilidae.
GGAGUGCGUGUGUUCUCAUGAAAUUAAAUUGAAGCAGAUCGGAAAUGGAAGCUCUCACAAUAAGUAGAGCCAGGCCGUAUAUGUAAAUACAGCUGAUCGUUCAAGUUGGGCGUCAGUUCAAGCCGCAAGGUGGCCCGGUAAAGGAUGGAGUGUUAUUGUAUGCUUGUGAAUUCGUAUAUAAAUAUGAGCAUCAGAUCAGGAAUGCGCGCUCUUGACCUGUGCAAUCGGUUCUAUACAAUGGAAGGAAGAAGAGGUGGCAGUAUAAACAUCGUUAUAAAAGUAGGAUGCCAGUUUCAGCUGUAAGGCGGCCCUCGCAGGAAAUAUAUGUGUUACGCAUUCCAAGAAACAAGAAGUACCAAAGACAAAUUUCCAUUGUCCAGGGACAAGUUCUUUUCUAGGGCCAAUCGUUAUGUCAAGAGAUUUUCAACCAACACCAAAAAAAAUGGAUAAGAAAUAACCGCCAUCUAAAAGCUAACACAAAGAACAGCCAAAAGCCAAACGGAAAAUCGCAAAAAAACAACAUUAAAUUCCUUAAAAUGUAAAAGAAAAAAAGAAAAAAUUCAGUGAAAUGUCAGCAUGUCAAACGUGGCAAUGAGCAAAAGUAGACGCAGAAAAGAAGAAAACAAUAAAUUAAAAUCGAAUAAAAUGUGAAAAAAUGUUUCAAGUCGGCAGAAGUGGGACUACGAUAGCUGCGUGUUCUGGGCCCAGAUUCAAUUGUUGCUACUGCUGAUGUUAAUGCUGCUGCUGCUGCUGCUGAAGUUGCUGCUUGAGGCACGGUCAAUGGCCUGUUGCUGGUAAGCUCAGGCAAUAGCGUGGCAAACACACUUGCACACGCACUUGCGGCGAUUGUCGAUUGCGUAUACGGCAUGUAAGCCGCAUGGCUCAGAAGCGACAGCAGUUCAACAGUUUGUUGCCAGCCGCCAGUUUCUAUGGCAUUUGAUAAUUCUUAUUCAACUGCAUUACAUUUCUAUUCGUUUAAUUUAAAUGACAACAAAAAAUAUGCAAAAUAUUACAUAUGGGCUACAGGUGAAAGUAAAGGCGUCUAAUAUCACAAACAUAUACUGAAGCAACUCAUGCGCUGUAGCAUUCGUUGUUUAUUUGUUGGCAGCCGCUGGCUAACUGGCAACUGGCAACUGGCUGAAGCCAGCACAGACACCCACCAUGUGGAAGGCACUUUCCAGGAACAUGUUGGCAUUUGGCACGCUGGAAUGGAACGCAACAACAGUAGAAAUAACAAAGUAAAUGCUCCCAAUUGCAUAAUACAAGCAUAAUCUUGUUUGAACUGCCUCAAAUUGGUAAUAAGCAUUUGCAAAAUAUUUAAAGGCAGCUCAAAAUUAAAUUAAAAUAUAAGAAAAAAAUAAAAUAAAAUCCUUUAAAAUAGUCAA